AUACAGAGGGUGCGAGCGUUAAUCGGAAUUACUGGGCGUAAAGAGUACGUAGGUGGUUUGUUAAGUCAGAUGUGAAAGCCCCGGGCUCAACCUGGGAACUGCAUUUGAAACUGGCAAACUAGAGUAUGGUAGAGGGGGGUAGAAUUUCUAGUGUAGCGGUGAAAUGCGUAGAUAUUAGAAGGAAUACCAGUGGCGAAGGCGGCCCCCUGGACCAAUACUGACACUGAGGUACGAAAGCGUGGGUAGCGAACAGGAUUAGAAACCCUAGUAGUCC
Molecule: ribosomal RNA, 274 nt
Filed under: uncultured bacterium
Lineage: Bacteria
Description: partial 16S ribosomal RNA
Rfam family: Bacterial small subunit ribosomal RNA
Source: RNAcentral